This 501-nucleotide ribosomal RNA is filed under the name uncultured bacterium. RNAcentral's name for it is "partial 16S ribosomal RNA". It matches the Rfam family "Bacterial small subunit ribosomal RNA", at positions 30 to 523 of the family's 1533-position model. The record is from RNAcentral.
AUUGAACGCUGGCGGCAGGCUUAACACAUGCAAGUCGAGCGGGGGAAGGUAGCUUGCUACCGGACCUAGCGGCGGACGGGUGAGUAAUGCUUAGGAAUCUGCCUAUUAGUGGGGGACAACAUCUCGAAAGGGAUGCUAAUACCGCAUACGUCCUACGGGAGAAAGCAGGGGAUCUUCGGACCUUGCGCUAAUAGAUGAGCCUAAGUCGGAUUAGCUAGUUGGUGGGGUAAAGGCCUACCAAGGCGACGAUCUGUAGCGGGUCUGAGAGGAUGAUCCGCCACACUGGGACGGAGAAACGGCCCAGACGCCUACGGGAGGCAGCAGUGGGGAAUAUUGGACAAUGGGGGGAACCCUGAUCCAGCCAUGCCGCGUGUGUGAAGAAGGCCUUAUGGUUGUAAAGCACUUUAAGCGAGGAGGAGGCUACUCUAGUUAAUACCUAGGGAUAGUGGACGUUACUCGCAGAAUAAGCACCGGCUAACUCUGUGCCAGCCGCCGCAGUAA